AGACUUAUCUAAGAGACAAAAAGACUAAAAAGACAUGGCAAACUCAAGCAGCUGAUGCAGCUCAUAAAAGGAAUGCAGCACUUUUAAAUUAAUUAGGAAGAAGGAAUCAGAAAGGAGGAAAAUGCAGUGGAAGAAUAUGAGGAUAUAGAAGCAGCAGAAAAAAAGCUGCAAGAGAGAAUGUAUUUACUUCCACAUCCUGAUACUGUUAAG
Long non-coding RNA from Melozone crissalis (California towhee), 210 nucleotides. RefSeq lists it as uncharacterized. The transcript has 3 exons. The record is from RefSeq and is a predicted model, not a curated record. NCBI's taxonomy places the organism in Eukaryota, Metazoa, Chordata, Aves, Passeriformes, Passerellidae.